CAGGGCCCAAACAAAGCAAGGAUCAGUGAGAAAGCCACAGUUUAAAAGCAAUUCUAAAUGAAAAGGAGGGACAACUCUCAAUUCUAGCUCUAGGUGACCUUCCAAAGCCUCUCUCCUCACUGAUCUCACGCUAUGCUGGCACAGCGGGAGCUGAGCUCACCUCUCCACACAACUUCUGAUCCAGAAUCCUUCGUCACCGUGCAUAAGCUCCAAGUGGGAUGAAAGAUAGACCAAUAGAGAAAUGAGGGCACUGUACUGGUACAAGAAAUGUCUCUGGAGUCAUAAAUACAGUUAAGGAAACAGCUUCCACUCUGAAU
This 317-nucleotide long non-coding RNA is filed under the name Gallus gallus (chicken). Its description in RNAcentral is "long non-coding RNA NONGGAT004585". Lineage: Eukaryota; Metazoa; Chordata; Aves; Galliformes; Phasianidae. The record is from RNAcentral.